This 467-nucleotide ribosomal RNA is filed under the name uncultured bacterium. RNAcentral's name for it is "partial 16S ribosomal RNA". It matches the Rfam family "Bacterial small subunit ribosomal RNA", at positions 29 to 507 of the family's 1533-position model. The record is from RNAcentral.
ACGCACGCUGGCGGCGUGCUUAACCCAUGCAAGUCGAACGGAAAGGCCCUGCUUUUGUGGGGUGCUCGAGUGGCGAACGGGUGAGUAACACGUGAGUAACCUGCCCUUGACUUUGGGAUAACUUCAGGAAACUGGGGCUAAUACCGGAUAGGAGCUCCUGCUGCAUGGUGGGGGUUGGAAAGUUUCGGCGGUUGGGGAUGGACUCGCGGCUUAUCAGCUUGUUGGUGGGGUAGUGGCUUACCAAGGCUUUGACGGGUAGCCGGCCUGAGAGGGUGACCGGCCACAUUGGGACUGAGAUACGGCCCGGACUCCUACGGGAGGCAGCAGUGGGGAAUAUUGCACAAUGGGCGGAAGCCUGAUGCAGCAACGCCGCGUGCGGGAUGACGGCCUUCGGGUUGUAAACCGCUUUCGCCUGUGACGAAGCGUGAGUGACGGUAAUGGGUAAAGAAGCACCGGCUAACUACGUG